AACGUGCCCUUUAGUUCAGAACAGCCACUGGAAACGGUGAGUAAUACUGGAUACGCCCUUCGGGGGAAAGAUUUAUCGCUAAAGGAUCGGCCCGCGUUGGAUUAGCUUGUUGGUGGGGUAAUGGCCUACCAAGGCGACGAUCUAUAGCUGGUCUGAGAGGAUGAUCAGCCACACUGGGACUGAGACACGGCCCAGACUCCUACGGGAGGCAGCAGUGGGGAAUAUUGGACAAUGGGGGCAACCCUGAUCCAGCCAUGCCGCGUGAGUGAAGAAGGCCCUAGGGUUGUAAAGCUCUUUCAGAUGUGAGGAUGAUGACAGUAGCAUCAGAAGAAGCACCGGCUAACUUCGUGCCAGCAGCCGCGGUAAUACGAAGGGUGCUAGCGU
RNAcentral lists this ribosomal RNA (384 nucleotides) under uncultured bacterium. RNAcentral describes it as "bacterial SSU rRNA". It matches the Rfam family "Bacterial small subunit ribosomal RNA", at positions 123 to 541 of the family's 1533-position model. The record is from RNAcentral.